Molecule: ribosomal RNA, 318 nt
Filed under: uncultured microorganism
Description: bacterial SSU rRNA
Rfam family: Bacterial small subunit ribosomal RNA
Source: RNAcentral
GUGCACCAGUCGAGAAUCUUCCACAAUGGACGAAAGUCUGAUGGAGCGACGCCGCGUGCGGGAUGAAGGCCUUAUGGGUUGUAAACCGCUGUCAGGGGGGAAGAACAUCGGAAUGAACAAUACUCAUUCCGACUGACGUUACCCCCAGAGGAAGCUCCGGCCAACUCCGUGCCAGCAGCCGCGGUAAUACGGGGGGAGCAAGCGUUGUCCGGAAUUAUUGGGCGUAAAGGGCGUGUAGGCGGCGAGGUAGUCGAAUGUGAAAUCUCACGGCUCAACCGUGAAACUGCGUUCGAAACUACCCUGCUUGAGUACGGGAGA